GACAAGACGAUGAACGGGAAGAGUACGCGGAAACAGCACUGUCAAAGAGAGUCGGGAACAGGUGAAAGCCCGACCAGUCGCCUCUGCUGAAAAUCACCCGGGAGUUCAAAAUCCGAAAGCUUGGCCGCACGUUGUUGAGGCAGGCAAGUAAGUGAGCGCGUCAUUCCCGUUACGAAUGAACGAGUGGAACGAAUCCCUCUGCAUGUUUGCCGACGGGUUUGUUCAAUCAGGGUGGUACCACGGGAGCCUUCUCUCGUCCCUUUU
RNAcentral lists this non-coding RNA (264 nucleotides) under Brevibacillus sp. RNAcentral describes it as "T-box sequence". It matches the Rfam family "T-box leader". From Rfam's summary of the family: Uncharged tRNA acts as the effector for transcription antitermination of genes in the T-box leader family. T-boxes are found upstream of many aminoacyl-tRNA synthetase genes and some amino acid biosynthetic genes usually in Gram-positive bacteria. The record is from RNAcentral. Lineage: Bacteria; Bacillati; Bacillota; Bacilli; Caryophanales; Paenibacillaceae.